Molecule: ribosomal RNA, 253 nt
Filed under: uncultured bacterium
Lineage: Bacteria
Description: partial 16S ribosomal RNA
Rfam family: Bacterial small subunit ribosomal RNA
Source: RNAcentral
UACAGAGGUGGCAAGCGUUGUUCGGAAUUACUGGGCGUAAAGGGUUUGUAGGUGGCUUGCUAAGUCAGACGUGAAAUCCCUCAGCUUAACUGGGGAACUGCGUCUGAGACUGGCGAGCUUGAGUGCAGGAGAGGAACGCGGAAUUCCAGGUGUAGCGGUGAAAUGCGUAGAUAUCUGGAGGAACACCGGUGGCGAAGGCGGCGUUCUGGACUGCAACUGACACUGAGAAACGAAAGCCAGGGGAGCAAACGGG